RNAcentral lists this ribosomal RNA (460 nucleotides) under uncultured bacterium. RNAcentral's name for it is "partial 16S ribosomal RNA". It matches the Rfam family "Bacterial small subunit ribosomal RNA", at positions 338 to 795 of the family's 1533-position model. The record is from RNAcentral.
CCUGCGGGAGGCAGCAGUGAGGAAUAUUGGUCAAUGGGCGGAAGCCUGAACCAGCCAAGUCGCGUGAGGGAAUAAGGCCCUACGGGUCGUAAACCUCUUUUGCCGGGGAGCAAGGGCGGGGACGUGUCCCGGCCCGGAGAGUACCCGGAGAAAACGCAUUGGCUAACUCCGUGCCAGCAGACGCGGUAAGAAGGAGGGUGCGAGCGGUAUCCGGAUUUAUUGGGUUUAAAGGGAGCGUAGGCGGGAUGUUUAGUCAGCGGUAAAAAUUCGGGGCUCAACCCCGGCCGGCGGUUGAAACUGGUGGCCUUGAGUGGGCGAGAAGAAGGCGGAAUGCGUGGUGUAGCGGUGAAAUGCAUAGAUAUCACGAAGAACUCCGAUUGCGAAGGCAGCUUACUAAACUGCCACUGACAUUGAUGCUCGAAAGUGUGGGUAUCAAACAGGAUUAGAUACCCCUGUAGUC